This 601-nucleotide long non-coding RNA is filed under the name Homo sapiens (human). RNAcentral's name for it is "non-protein coding lnc-ENPP1-1:2". Lineage: Eukaryota; Metazoa; Chordata; Mammalia; Primates; Hominidae. The record is from RNAcentral.
CAAAGCCUGUUUGGUGGUCUCUUCACACGGACGCGCAUGAAAUUUGGUGCCAUGACUCGGAUCGGGGGACCUCCCUUGGGAGAUCAAUCCCCUGUCUUCCUGUUCUUUGCUCCGUGAGAAAGAUCCACCUACAACCUCAGGUCCUCAGACCGACCAGCCCAAGGAACAUCUCACCAAUUUUAAAUCAGGAGCUUACUACACGUGCCGGCAAUCUGGCCACUGGGCCAAGGAAUGCCCGCAGCCCGGGAUUCCUCCUAAGCCGCGUCCCAUCUGUGUGGGACCCCACUGGAAAUCGGACUGUUCAACUCACCUGGCAGCCACUCCCAGAGCCCCUGGAACUCUGGCCCAAGGCUCUCUGACUGACUCCUUCCCAGAUCUUCUUGGCUUAGCGGCUGAAGACUGACACUGCCCGAUUGCCUUGGAAGCCCCCUAAACCAUCACGGAUGCCGAGCUUCGGGUAACUCUCACAGUGGAAGGGACGUGCAUGAAAGUUAGGGGUAGAAGAAAAGAUGGAUUGAGGUUGUCCUCAGACUUUCCAUGGUAUCUGAGCUGUUUUCCUCUUCCGGAAUUGUGUCUCAUAUGAAGUUCCUCUUCAUUUGAG